This 108-nucleotide ribosomal RNA is filed under the name Mesocricetus auratus (golden hamster). Lineage: Eukaryota; Metazoa; Chordata; Mammalia; Rodentia; Cricetidae. The record is from RNAcentral.
UAGGAAACACAAUACCUGAAUACAGCCGAUCUUGUUUGAUUUUGGAAGCUAAGCAGGAUGGGCCUGGUCAGUACUUGGAUGAGAGAAACUGUCAUGGCCAGAACCAAC